RNAcentral lists this long non-coding RNA (333 nucleotides) under Equus caballus (horse). Its description in RNAcentral is "lncRNA (ENSECAG00000059038.1)". Lineage: Eukaryota; Metazoa; Chordata; Mammalia; Perissodactyla; Equidae. The record is from RNAcentral.
GCUUAGUGUCUCUCUCUCUUUCUUUCUCUCUUCUUCCUCUCUUUCUCUCUCACACACACACCUCUAUCUAUGUCUAUCUCUUUCUCUGUCUCUAUCAACAGUCUCAGCAGACCCCCAGCAUCAACUGCCAGACGUCUAGUGCAGUAGAGUUAAAACGCAAGUAAGCCUAUGGAAUCCAAAUAAAUGAGAUGGAGUUUGGGGCACAAUGAGAAGAAAGAGUCAGAGGAAUCCGUACACAUGAGGUCCUAGAGCAUACAAGGCAUGCCUGGGGGCACACAGAGAGGUCAUAGGGAGAGCCAGAGUGAGCAAACCUGGGGUUCUGCUUUUUUGGGG